Molecule: long non-coding RNA, 2025 nt
Organism: Serinus canaria (Common canary)
Lineage: Eukaryota; Metazoa; Chordata; Aves; Passeriformes; Fringillidae
Exons: 8
Source: RefSeq, a predicted model, not a curated record
GACAAAGCAGUAGAAAGUGUACUGCAGGAAACAAUCCUGCAUUGGCAUGGGGUUUUGGUCUAAAUGACCUAAUAGGUCUUUUCUUCCUCUAAUUUCUAUGAUUUUAUGACUGGAAAUAACUUCUAACUUAAGAGGAUUUAGAUGGCAGGCAUGGGCAUGCAUUAUUUACAGCUGAACCUAAAGUAACUGCUAUAUUAUGGAGUGCAUGAGCAGUGGUGGUGAGUGAGGAUUGAGCAGGUAAAUGUUGAGAGGAAUGCAUGGGAUUAGGCAGCAGUGGUGGAGUUGGGAUAAUGAGAAUAGAUUUCCUUGCAAAAGGGGUACUUCUAAUUGAAAGACGUGUAAGAGUCCUGACUGCAACAGGGGAAGGAGUGUGGGAUCAGGAUUCAUGAGUGGGACUGGAACUCCAGGGGGGUAGAGUGUAGCUUGGACUCUACUGCAGUCUUGGCUUCAUUAACCUGUUCUGAAAGAGAAGAACAAAGAAUCAAUUGAAAUAUGUAAGACUGGAAAGUUUAACAUACUACAGCACUUAACUACAGUCUGCAGAAUAUUUAAAGUGUGGUUCCACUCUGAAGUUGGCAAGCUGAGGCAAUACCUAUGUGGAGCAUUAAAGCCAUUGGAUGCUGCUUUAUUCUGUGGAAAUAGAAUUAGCAAUGCUCGAUAUUUAUUGCCUCUCAGUGAUUUUUGCAUGAAAUUUACUCAGCUGUUAAAUAAAAGGAGACAUUCUGUACCUACCCAUCUUCAAAUGCAGUUCCUCUUCUGACUGCCUUCACUGGAUCUGUGCAAGGAUGUGGUUUGGAAAAUUCCCACCUCUGCUUAUGAUACAUUUCAGAACCAGAGGCAACCAACCAAACAACAUAGGAAAUUCAAAUUAACUACAGUAUUAAUUUCAUGCUUCUGAGAGACGACUGGAGAUUGGAAAGAAUCUUUUGCAGUAGACAACCUAUGAACAUCAGAAAAUUCACAGGCUUCUUCAAUGAAGAAAGACUGAUCAACAAUCACUAGCAGUAGACCUGUACUUGCAUGUGGAUUUUCAUCUUCCAUGUCUUGGGUCUUACACCUUUCAUGUGACAAGAGUGAGGGCAUUUCCUGGUAGGCUGGAAUUCAGGGUACACAUACUCUGGCUAAAGGUAUUGGUUGCAUAUUCUGAUGGUCGGCUUCAUGAAAUAAAAAUGGUUUGGGUUUUUUCCAAGCAAACCAUAUUUUUAAUCAGUCAUGUUUUCUUUCCAUGGAAACACUGACUUUUUGUCAGAAUUAAGGAAAAUAUCUCUCUGAAAAACUUUUUGAAAACCUGUUAAUUUUUUUCCAAAAUAUUUUCAUAGGCAUGUUCCUUCUUUUUUGAUCCAUAUUAAUUUUAGGCCUAAUGUCUAGUUUCAGGAGACCAAAAGCUAGAGUAUGUGUCUAGCAGACUAAUAGUGUCUGUGCAAGUAUAAUCGCUUCCCUAAUCAAGCUCUGAAAAUGAAGGCCUGUGUGUUUUCUGCAUCUCACACAAGGAGGAACUUAAGGACUUAAAAAGAUAUCAAACCAUGUAGCAGGUUGACCAAGUGUAUUGAAACAAAAAUAUAAAUGUGAAAUCCCAACACAUCAAAAAUUAAAUGAAAUAUAUCCAAAAUCAAUUAAAGUGCAAAUCAUUAAUUAAAAAAAACCAAACCCACAAUGAAACCAAAAUACAACCCCCUCACACUUAUCUUAUUAACUUAAAACUCAGCUUGAACAAAGUAUUCCUCUGGUUACCAUGAACACAAGAUUUUAUGAGUAUUGAUAUCAAAUUACUACAUGUUAUCUGAAAAUGCAACAUAAGAACUGUCUGGGCAGUAAGGUGUCAUUCAGUCAGUAAGAUGUCAUUCAUUAUUGUUUCACCUUGGGGACUGGAAAUUCAAUCUCAAAAAAUAGACACUCAGUGUGUGUUUCAUCCAUGAGACAGGGCCUUCUGUUACAGUUUUCUUUCUGAUAUACAGCUCCUACCAGAUACCAGAUAAUGGAAACCCUAUCAGAUUCACCUAUGUUGUAACUUACUCCGAAAAUACC